ACGAACGCUGGCGGCGUGCUUAACACAUGCAAGUCGAACGGUGAAGCGCCUUCCUUUUUGGUGGGUGUGGAUGAGUGGCGCACGGGUGAGUAACACGUGAGUAACCUGCCCCCUUCUUCUGGAUAACCGCAUGAAAGUGUGGCUAAUACGGGAUAUUCUGGGUCUGUCGCAUGAUGGGUCUGGUAAAGCUAUUGUUUCGGUGGGGGAUGGGCCCGCGGCCUAUCAGCUUGUUGGUGGGGUGAUGGCCUACCAAGGCGGUGUCGGGUAGCCGGCCUGAGAGGUUGGCCGGACAAGAUGGGACUGAGACACGGCGCAGACUAGGAGGGCAGGCACCAGGGGGGAAAAGGGAAGAAUGGGCGAAAGCCUGAUGCGGGGGCGCGGCGUGAGGAUGGAGGCCUUCGGGUUGUGAACGUCUUUCGCCAGUGAAGCAGGCCUGCCUCGUUUGUGAGCGGGUUGACGGUAGCUGGAGAAGAAGCGCCGGCUAACUACGUG
RNAcentral lists this ribosomal RNA (492 nucleotides) under uncultured bacterium. Its description in RNAcentral is "partial 16S ribosomal RNA". It matches the Rfam family "Bacterial small subunit ribosomal RNA", at positions 29 to 507 of the family's 1533-position model. The record is from RNAcentral.